UUUUCAUCCCAAUUCUGUUUGAUUUUUGAUUGGUGGAGGAAUAUGAGUUUGGAAAAAUCGAGAAAUCACUUAUUGGCGGAAAAUCGAGAAAUCCAGAAAUCGGUGAACCUUUUCUCAAAUGUUGGCUUCCGUUGACACUUCCAUUUUUAGUUUAUUCCUUGACAAUUUGUGUGUAUUGUUAUUAUUAGGUACAUUUAAUGUAAUUGAAAGAUUUUGUUUCUCUUGUAUGAGUUUUAUCCAUCAAUGACAAUGAAAUCAUUUUGUUUUUAUCAUUGUGGUUCCCUGG
This 286-nucleotide long non-coding RNA is filed under the name Trifolium pratense (red clover). RNAcentral's name for it is "long non-coding RNA (TPRA_LNC013675)". The record is from RNAcentral. Lineage: Eukaryota; Viridiplantae; Streptophyta; Magnoliopsida; Fabales; Fabaceae.